GAUGAACGUUGGCGGUGUGCCUAAUACAUGCAAGUCGAACGGAGCUAAUAGCAAUAUUGGCUUAGUGGCGAACGGGUGAGUAACGCGUUGGUGAUCUGCCUUGAAGUGUGGAAUAACGUUCCGAAAGGAUCGCUAAUACCGCAUGUGCUCUCGAUUUUCAGAAAGUUGAGAGUAAAGGAUUUAUUCGCUUCAAGAGGAGCCUGCGUCCCAUCAGCUGGUUGGUAGGGUAACGGCCUACCAAGGCUAUGACGGGUAGGGGACCUGAGAGGGUGGCCCCCCACAAUGGAACUGAAACACGGUCCAUACACCUACGGGUGGCAGCAGUAGGGAAUAUUAGAAAUGGACGAAAGUCUGAUCUAGCAACACCGCGUGUGCCGAAGAAGGCCUUCGGGUCGUAAAGCACUUUUUGGAAGGAAUAGGAAGGAAUGUACUUCCAGAAUAAGUCUCGGCUAACUACGUGCCAGCAGCGCGGUAAACUGUAGUCU
RNAcentral lists this ribosomal RNA (485 nucleotides) under uncultured bacterium. RNAcentral describes it as "bacterial SSU rRNA". It matches the Rfam family "Bacterial small subunit ribosomal RNA", at positions 28 to 533 of the family's 1533-position model. The record is from RNAcentral.